This 440-nucleotide ribosomal RNA is filed under the name uncultured bacterium. Its description in RNAcentral is "partial 16S ribosomal RNA". It matches the Rfam family "Bacterial small subunit ribosomal RNA", at positions 338 to 795 of the family's 1533-position model. The record is from RNAcentral.
CCUACGGGUGGCAGCAGUAGGGAAUAUUGCUCAAUGGGGGGAACCCUGAAGCAGCAACGCCGCGUGGGGGAGGAAGGUUCUCGGAUUGUAAAGCCCUUUUGUUAGAGAAGAUAAUGACGGUACCUGACGAAUAAGCACCGGCUAACUACGUGCCAGCAGCCGCGGUAAUACGGAGGGUGCAAGCGUUAUUCGGAAUCACUGGGCGUAAAGAGGGCGUAGGCGGGUUAGCAAGUCAGGUGUGAAAGCCUAGGGCCUAACCACAGAACUGCAGUUGAAACUGGUAUGCUAGAGUGUGGGAGAGGUAGGUGGAAUUCGUGGUGUAGCGGUGAAAUGCGUAGAGAUCGAGAGGAAUACUGAUUGCGAAGGCGGCAUGCUGGAUCAUAACUGACGCUGAGGCGCGAAAGCGUGGGGAGCAAACAGGAUUAGAUACCCGUGUAGUC